Molecule: ribosomal RNA, 364 nt
Filed under: uncultured eukaryote
Lineage: Eukaryota
Description: partial 18S ribosomal RNA
Rfam family: Eukaryotic small subunit ribosomal RNA
Source: RNAcentral
CAAAAGCGUAUAUUAAAGUUGUUGCAGUUAAAAAGCUCGUAGUUGAACCUUGGGCUUGGCUGGCCGGUCCAUCUUUUUUGAUGCGUACUGGACCCAGCCGAGCCUUUCCUUCUGGCUAGCCUUUUGGCGAACCAGGACUUUUACUUUGAAAAAAUUAGAGUGUUCAAAGCAGGCCUUUGCUCGAAUAUAUUAGCAUGGAAUAAUAGAAUAGGACGUUAUGGUUCUAUUUUGUUGGUUUCUAGGACCAUCGUAAUGAUCAAUAGGGACGGUCGGGGGUAUCAGUAUUCAGUUGUCAGAGGUGAAAUUCUUGGAUUUACUGAAGACUAACUACUGCGAAAGCAUUUACCAAGGACGUUUUCAUUAA